UUUCCGUAGGUGAACCUGCGGAAGGAUCAUUAAAGAGUAAGGGUGCUCAGCGCCCGACCUCCAACCCUUUGUGAACCAAACUUGUUGCUUCGGGGGCGACCCUGCCGCUUCGGCGGUGCGGCGCCCCCGGAGGCCAUUAAACACUGCAUCAUUGCGUCGGAGUUAAAGUAAAUUAAACAAAACUUUCAACAACGGAUCUCUUGGUUCCAGCAUCGAUGAAGAACGCAGC
This 229-nucleotide unclassified non-coding RNA is filed under the name uncultured fungus. RNAcentral describes it as "sequence contains ITS1, 5.8S rRNA gene". The stretch from base 181 to 229 matches the Rfam family "5.8S ribosomal RNA", at positions 1 to 49 of the family's 154-position model. Lineage: Eukaryota; Fungi. The record is from RNAcentral.